RNAcentral lists this ribosomal RNA (468 nucleotides) under uncultured bacterium. Its description in RNAcentral is "partial 16S ribosomal RNA". It matches the Rfam family "Bacterial small subunit ribosomal RNA", at positions 28 to 507 of the family's 1533-position model. The record is from RNAcentral.
GACGAACGCUGGCGGCGUGCUUAACACAUGCAAGUCGAACGGAAAGGCCCUGCUUUUGUGGGGUGCUCGAGUGGCGAACGGGUGAGUAACACGUGAGUAACCUGCCCUUGACUUUGGGAUAACUUCAGGAAACUGGGGCUAAUACCGGAUAGGAGCUCCUGCUGCAUGGUGGGGGUUGGAAAGUUUCGGCGUUUGGGGAUGGACUCGCGGCUUAUCAGCUUGUUGGUGGGGUAGUGGCUUACCAAGGCUGUGACGGGUAGCCGGCCUGAGAGGGUGACCGGCCACAUUGGGACUGAGAUACGGCCCAGACUCCUACGGGAGGCAGCAGUGGGGAAUAUUGCACAAUGGGCGGAAGCCUGAUGCAGCAACGCCGCGUGCGGGAUGACGGCCUUCGGGUUGUAAACCGCUUUCGCCUGUGACGAAGCGUGAGUGACGGUAAUGGGUAAAGAAGCACCGGCUAACUACGUG